Molecule: transfer RNA, 65 nt
Filed under: Andrena semilaevis
Lineage: Eukaryota; Metazoa; Arthropoda; Insecta; Hymenoptera; Andrenidae
Description: tRNA-Leu
Rfam family: tRNA
About the family: Transfer RNA (tRNA) molecules are approximately 80 nucleotides in length. Their secondary structure includes four short double-helical elements and three loops (D, anti-codon, and T loops).
Source: RNAcentral
UUUAAUAUGGCAGAAUAGUGCAAUGGAUUUAAGCCCCAUAUAUAAAAUUAAAAUUUUUAUUAAAA